This 253-nucleotide ribosomal RNA is filed under the name uncultured bacterium. RNAcentral describes it as "partial 16S ribosomal RNA". It matches the Rfam family "Bacterial small subunit ribosomal RNA", at positions 524 to 776 of the family's 1533-position model. The record is from RNAcentral.
UACGUAGGUGGCGAGCGUUGUCCGGAAUUACUGGGUGUAAAGGGCGUGUAGGCGGGAUCAUAAGUCAGAUGUGAAAUUCCAUGGCUUAACUGUGGCACUGCAUCUGAAACUAUGGUUCUUGAGUGCUGGAGAGGAAAGCGGAAUUCCCAGUGUAGCGGUGAAAUGCGUAGAUAUUGGGAGGAACACCAGUGGCGAAGGCGGCUUUCUGGACAGUAACUGACGCUGAGGCGCGAAAGCGUGGGGAGCAAACAGG